RNAcentral lists this ribosomal RNA (474 nucleotides) under uncultured Bacillus sp. Its description in RNAcentral is "bacterial SSU rRNA". It matches the Rfam family "Bacterial small subunit ribosomal RNA", at positions 39 to 496 of the family's 1533-position model. The record is from RNAcentral. Lineage: Bacteria; Bacillati; Bacillota; Bacilli; Caryophanales; Bacillaceae.
GCGGCGUGCCUAAUACAUGCAAGUCGAGCGAAUCGAUGGGAGCUUGCUCCCUGAGAUUAGCGGCGGACGGGUGAGUAACACGUGGGCAACCUGCCUAUAAGACUGGGAUAACUUCGGGAAACCGGAGCUAAUACCGGAUACGUUCUUUUCUCGCAUGAGAGAAGAUGGAAAGACGGUUUACGCUGUCACUUAUAGAUGGGCCCGCGGCGCAUUAGCUAGUUGGUGAGGUAAUGGCUCACCAAGGCGACGAUGCGUAGCCGACCUGAGAGGGUGAUCGGCCACACUGGGACUGAGACACGGCCCAGACUCCUACGGGAGGCAGCAGUAGGGAAUCUUCCGCAAUGGACGAAAGUCUGACGGAGCAACGCCGCGUGAACGAAGAAGGCCUUCGGGUCGUAAAGUUCUGUUGUUAGGGAAGAACAAGUACCAGAGUAACUGCUGGUACCUUGACGGUACCUAACCAGAAAGCCACGG